This is a long non-coding RNA of Trichomycterus rosablanca, 416 nucleotides long. RefSeq lists it as uncharacterized. The transcript has 2 exons. NCBI's taxonomy places the organism in Eukaryota, Metazoa, Chordata, Actinopteri, Siluriformes, Trichomycteridae. The record is from RefSeq and is a predicted model, not a curated record.
GUGUUACAGAAACUCCACGGUUUGAAGAUUUUCUUUUUUUAGUAACCGUUGUUUAGCAGCUCGUAUUAACGAGCAACUGCGUUAAUCAGAAAGAAGACCAGAUCCUGACCGUGUAGCUUUCCUGCUUACCGACAUGGUGGGAGGAAACCCACGCGGACACAGGGAGAACAUGCAAACUCCACACAGAAAGGACCCGGACCGCCCCACCUGGGGAUCGAACCCAGGACCUUCUUGCUGUGAGGCAACAGUGCUACCCACCCAGCCAUUGUGCUGCCCGAUUAACUCCUCAACUACAUUAUUAAAUAAUUAGUAAUAAUGUAAUAUAAUAUUACUUCUCAUCAUAAAAUGUGUGAAAACAUAUAACCUUUAUACCUGAAAACUUGUUUUACAUAUUAAACAAUUAUUUACAGUUGGAA